Camelina sativa (false flax) is the source of this 321-nucleotide long non-coding RNA. RefSeq lists it as uncharacterized. The record is from RefSeq and is a predicted model, not a curated record. NCBI's taxonomy places the organism in Eukaryota, Viridiplantae, Streptophyta, Magnoliopsida, Brassicales, Brassicaceae.
AAAUCAGAAGUUUUAUUUUAAAAAAGUCGUAGAUGCAUGAAGACGAAGACUUAAUGGAGGAUUUGAGAAACAAAGGUGGAAAAUAUGGUAACUUAGUGAAUAUUGUGAUUCCACGACCUAUCCAAGUAAUGAUCCCACACCAGGAGUUGGAAAGGUUUUCUUCGAGUAUGCGAAUGUGGAUGAUGCAUCAAUGGCUAGACUGGGGAUGAAUGAAAGAUUUCUUUUUGUCUUUAUCUAUUUUUAUUGUUUUUAACGGAUUAAAACUGACUACACCCAAUCCGAUUGAAGCCUGCCUCUAUGGUGCUUUGUGUUUGGUGGAUU